RNAcentral lists this ribosomal RNA (521 nucleotides) under uncultured Glomeraceae. Its description in RNAcentral is "SSU rRNA". It matches the Rfam family "Eukaryotic small subunit ribosomal RNA", at positions 569 to 1092 of the family's 1831-position model. Lineage: Eukaryota; Fungi; Glomeromycota; Glomeromycetes; Glomerales; Glomeraceae. The record is from RNAcentral.
AGCAGCCGCGGUAAUUCCAGCUCCAAUAGCGUAUAUUAAAGUUGUUGCAGUUAAAAAGCUCGUAGUUGAAUUUCGGGAUCAAGGAAUCGGUCAUGCCUCGGUAUGUACUGGUUUUAUUGGUUCUCACCUUCUAAAGAACCAUAAUGUCAUUUAUUUGAUGUUAUGGGGAAUUAGGACUGUUACCUUGAAAAAAUUAGAGUGUUUAAAGCAAGCUUACGCUUGAAUACAUUAGCAUGGAAUAAUGAAAUAGGACAUCCGAUUCUAUUUUGUUGGUUUCUAGGAUCGAUGUAAUGAUUAAUAGGGAUAGUUGGGGGCAUUAGUAUUCAAUUGUCAGAGGUGAAAUUCUUGGAUUUAUUGAAGACUAACUACUGCGAAAGCAUUUGCCAAGGAUGUUUUCAUUAAUCAAGAACGAAAGUUAGGGGAUCGAAGACGAUCAGAUACCGUCGUAGUCUUAACCAUAAACUAUGCCGACUAGGGAUCGGAUGAUGUUUAUUUUUUAGUGACUCAUUCGGCACCUUACG